Molecule: long non-coding RNA, 384 nt
Organism: Alnus glutinosa
Lineage: Eukaryota; Viridiplantae; Streptophyta; Magnoliopsida; Fagales; Betulaceae
Exons: 3
Source: RefSeq, a predicted model, not a curated record
ACCGGAACCCGCGAACUCGAAAUCCAUCGUGACCUCGAAACUAUGAUGAAUUGAGACAGCACAAAAGGACUAUGAUUGUGCAUGCACAGACACUGACGAGUAUCAGGAUUAUCAGGAGCCUUAUGAUGAUCCUGGUUUCAUAGAUGAGACUGUCUAAAGUCCCCUUUUUAUGAUAGACUUACUGAACAGUUUAUCUUCCAUGUCGUUAUUAGGUUUUAUUUUAUGUACUUUCUAGACAUCUUAUGCUUUAUUUUAUGGUUUGUAAUAUGACUACUAUUAUAUAGGACGUGAGCCGUGGUGGCCCUUAUGUUAUUGCUUUUGUGUGUAUUUAUUUGUAAGACCUUUUAUUAUUAUUUUAAUGUAAGUUGAGGUAUUUCAAUUAAA